Molecule: ribosomal RNA, 318 nt
Filed under: Rhizoctonia solani
Lineage: Eukaryota; Fungi; Basidiomycota; Agaricomycetes; Cantharellales; Ceratobasidiaceae
Description: partial large subunit ribosomal RNA
Rfam family: Bacterial large subunit ribosomal RNA
Source: RNAcentral
UAAACUUUGUGUAGCGUAUAAGGUUAAUGUUUGUUUUAAAAACAAAAAGUCGAUAGACACAGUUGAAACACCUUUCUUGGUUUUAUGUUAAUGUUCACCUAAUCUUUUAUGGUUAGGGAUAAAUGACUAAUUGGCAGUUUGUCUGGGGCGGACGUCUUUAAUAGAGUAUCAGAGACAUCCACAAGGUAUGUCUUAAAUUGGAUGGAGACCAAGCAAGCCAUGAACGGUAUAAUAAGGUAUAAUGACUUAAGCAUGCUUAACUGAGAGACCCAUAAGUCAAACAGAUACGUAAGUAGGGCAUAAUGAUCCGGCGGUAUA